UACAGAGGGGGCGAGCGUUGUUCGGAAUUACUGGGCGUAAAGGGCGCGUAGGCGGCCAACUAAGUCAGACGUGAAAUCCCUCGGCUCAACCGGGGAACUGCGUCUGAUACUGGAUGGCUUGAAUUCGGGAGAGGGACGCGGAAUUCCAGGUGUAGCGGUGAAAUGCGUAGAUAUCUGGAGGAACACCGGUGGCGAAGGCGGCAUCCUGGACCGAGAUUGACGCUGAUGCGCGAAAGCCAGGGGAGCAAACGGG
RNAcentral lists this ribosomal RNA (253 nucleotides) under uncultured bacterium. RNAcentral's name for it is "partial 16S ribosomal RNA". It matches the Rfam family "Bacterial small subunit ribosomal RNA", at positions 524 to 776 of the family's 1533-position model. The record is from RNAcentral.